GUAAGCCUUGCUGCCCCACCGGCUGGUUGGCUGGUUCGAGGUGAGAGCCAGAGGGGAGAGCUGUCUCAGACCUGGUCAUAGAAAAAGAAGGUGCUUUUCAUCCUAUCUGGGUGCCUGAACGAGCAAUCAGACAUGGAAGAGAUAGAACCGAGAUUCAAGCGACUGAAGAUCGACCCGGAGAAGCCUCCAUCCAAAAGGAAGAGAUAUCGGAAAAAGACGAAGAGAAACCAGGUUGACCCAGCCGAAAAGCUGAUUUCAUUGGAAGAUGCGAAGAAGCUAACGACACAGGCUUCCCGAAUACUUAGACUCCUUGGAAAGAACAGGACCCCAGUCUUGAUGGCAGCAACAGUAAUUGCCCUGCUGGGCUGUCAGGAUGGAGAGACUUUGGAACAAGAAUGCAGAAAUUUGAAAGAGUGAACCACCGCCUCAUUUUUCAGAGAAAAAUGGGAGAAUAUGUGGGAAGCCAUUCUCGCAUGUGCGGCCCCCCUCAACCUUCAUU
Molecule: long non-coding RNA, 499 nt
Organism: Ictidomys tridecemlineatus (thirteen-lined ground squirrel)
Lineage: Eukaryota; Metazoa; Chordata; Mammalia; Rodentia; Sciuridae
Source: RefSeq, a predicted model, not a curated record